This 88-nucleotide transfer RNA is filed under the name Planctomycetales bacterium. RNAcentral's name for it is "tRNA-Ser". It matches the Rfam family "tRNA". Rfam says of the family: Transfer RNA (tRNA) molecules are approximately 80 nucleotides in length. Their secondary structure includes four short double-helical elements and three loops (D, anti-codon, and T loops). Further hydrogen bonds mediate the characteristic L-shaped molecular structure. tRNAs have two regions of fundamental functional importance: the anti-codon, which is responsible for specific mRNA codon recognition, and the 3' end, to which the tRNAs corresponding amino acid is attached (by aminoacyl-tRNA synthetases). tRNAs cope with the degeneracy of the genetic code in two manners: having more than one tRNA (with a specific anti-codon) for a particular amino acid; and 'wobble' base-pairing, i.e. permitting non-standard base-pairing at the 3rd anti-codon position. The record is from RNAcentral. Lineage: Bacteria; Pseudomonadati; Planctomycetota; Planctomycetia; Planctomycetales.
GGAAGGCAGCCGGAUACGGUUGGCCGGACCGCUUUGCUAAAGCGGCUCUCUGAAAACGGAGAUGAGGGUUCGACUCCCUCGCCUUCCG